GGCGGGCCCGGGGGCGGAGUCACGCCCGCUUAGACCCUCGCGGGAGGGAGACCCAGGUGCCCUCAAGUUCCUGCCUGAUGUUUGGAGCUACUUCCAAGCUAGGUGUUUUCUAGAUGGGUCCGAUUGAGCCCCUGUAUCUUCUCCAUGCUCCUGCCUCACAUCCAUCAUCACCACAGGACUCUCCUCUCCACACAGCACUGCUUCCAUAUGUGAAAAGAGAAGGGAAAGGACAGGAACUAUAUUUGGAAACUUUCCCCAAGCAGUUCUGUGUAUGCAAGUAAAUUUGGACAAGACAAUGUUUACAGGUAAGUCUGAGGCCCAAACUAUCAAACUCACUAUAUGACAUUCUCUUGAAGCAUCUUU
Molecule: long non-coding RNA, 363 nt
Filed under: Cricetulus griseus (Chinese hamster)
Lineage: Eukaryota; Metazoa; Chordata; Mammalia; Rodentia; Cricetidae
Description: lncRNA (ENSCGRG00000024932.1)
Source: RNAcentral